UUUUAUUAAAUAAUUAGAUUAAUCUGCUCAAAGAUUUAAGAUGACACUUUUAAAUAACUAAUUUUUUUUCAUAUCGACGCGAUUUGCAGGUACGAAUACUAGUAAUAAAGAACGAGAAAGAGAGUGAUUCUUAUUGAUUGAGGCGAGCUGAUCAAAGAGCCAACAAUAGCUACGAGCAAACUAUGAACAGUGAUUGUGCACCAGUAUUUGUAUAUCAGUAUUUGUUAAUGAGUAUUCAGAUGAUUUACAAUGGUGGGAAGAUGAGUAUUUAUAGGAUAAUAUAAUCGUAACCUACUUCUUGAAUUUUGCACGUUACAGGGAUGGGAUAAGCCGAGGUUGUUUGACGUGAUAAGAUGGAAUCCCGGCUAUCUCGGAGUUUGGCCAUGGUUGGGAAGUUGAUUGCCCGGGCACUUUGGACCCUCGAGACGUAUCGUCUCGGGUCACUGUUAUCCGAUAUGGGCGAAAUAGAUCCGGAACCAAAUUCUCGGAUGGUUAAGAGAUUUCGGUCUUUGGCCAGGUUGUCACCGACAGACUUGAGGUUAACUAUGAGUUUCUUCUGAGCUUUCCACGUGUCCUGUCAAAGAGUCUUCAUCCGGCUAUUAUCUAAUAUCAAUACAAUAUUCUACAUAAUGUGCUCACCUUCAUUUGUUGGAAAGGAACUGUUGGACGUGUUUGUACUUCUUAAAAUUUCUGUAGAAGUAACUAACAAUGUCCCUUCAUGUGCUUAUAGUGUCCUGAUGUCAUCUAUGCAGACAACAUAUUGUUUUAUAAGCUCAUAUAAUCUUUACUUUUCUGAUGGAAAUAUAUAUUCAUGUAUUACCAUGUGACAUACUCAGAAAGGAGAGCGAAAUUAAUCUUAUACAUGCUUGCAUUAGUUCCUUUAAUUGCUGGUAAAAUUGGGUGCAUCUAGCGGUAACAUACUUCUGCCAUUUUUUCUUCUUCUCCGUUUUUGUAAGUUUGCAUAAGAGGCAACAGAUUUAGGAAUUUGUUGAACAGAACAAAGAAGAAAGAUCAGGGGCCAAAGUGUAAAUUCUGGAAAUCAGGAAGUUAGUUACUAACACUUCUUAAAGUUAGUUAAGGAGGCAGUUAGGUUCACAGAUUAGUGAACUGAUUAUAGGUUAGAUUAGAGGGAUUAGUUAGUGAUUUAAUAUCCUAUAUAUAUACAUCAACAUGUAUUGUAAAUACUUACUUCAUCAUAUUAUAUCAAUGAAAGAAGAUAAAAUCCUCUCUCUAAAACUACCUUCUUCCUUCUGUUCUUGUGUUCUUCAAUAUUGAAUAUUAUUCUUCUCUUCAUUCUUCCUAAAUCACAAACUUCAUCAUGGUAUCAGAGCAGUGAGUAAUAACUCAAGUAUAUCCUCAAGAAUAUUGUGUAUAUCAAGU
Lycium ferocissimum is the source of this 1380-nucleotide long non-coding RNA. RefSeq lists it as uncharacterized. NCBI's taxonomy places the organism in Eukaryota, Viridiplantae, Streptophyta, Magnoliopsida, Solanales, Solanaceae. The record is from RefSeq and is a predicted model, not a curated record. The transcript has 2 exons.